CCUACGGGUGGCAGCAGUGGGGAAUAUUGCACAAUGGGCGCAAGCCUGAUGCAGCCAUGCCGCGUGUGUGAAGAAGGCCUUCGGGUUGUAAAGCACUUUCAGCGGGGAGGAAGGCGUUAAGGUUAAUAACCUUGGCGAUUGACGUUACCCGCAGAAGAAGCACCGGCUAACUCCGUGCCAGCAGCCGCGGUAAUACGGAGGGUGCAAGCGUUAAUCGGAAUUACUGGGCGUAAAGCGCACGCAGGCGGUCGGUCAAGUCGGAUGUGAAAUCCCCGGGCUCAACCUGGGAACUGCAUUCGAAACUGGCAGGCUAGAGUCUUGUAGAGGGGGGUAGAAUUCCAGGUGUAGCGGUGAAAUGCGUAGAGAUCUGGAGGAAUACCGGUGGCGAAGACGGCCCCCUGGACAAGGACUGACGCUCAGGUGCGAAAGCGUGGGGAGCAAACAGGAUUAGAUACCCCAGUAGUC
RNAcentral lists this ribosomal RNA (465 nucleotides) under uncultured Klebsiella sp. RNAcentral's name for it is "bacterial SSU rRNA". It matches the Rfam family "Bacterial small subunit ribosomal RNA", at positions 338 to 795 of the family's 1533-position model. The record is from RNAcentral. Lineage: Bacteria; Pseudomonadati; Pseudomonadota; Gammaproteobacteria; Enterobacterales; Enterobacteriaceae.